CCUACGGGUGGCUGCAGUGGGGAAUAUUGGACAAUGGGCGAAAGCCUGAUCCAGCCAUGCCGCGUGUGUGAAGAAGGCCUUCGGGUUGUAAAGCACUUUCAGUGGGGAAGAAAGCCUUGGGGCUAAUACCCUCGAGGAAGGACAUCACCCACAGAAGAAGCACCGGCUAACUCCGUGCCAGCAGCCGCGGUAAUACGGAGGGUGCGAGCGUUAAUCGGAAUUACUGGGCGUAAAGCGCGCGUAGGCGGUCUGAUAAGCCGGUUGUGAAAGCCCCGGGCUCAACCUGGGAACGGGAUCCGGAACUGUCAGGCUAGAGUGCAGGAGAGGAAGGUAGAAUUCCCGGUGUAGCGGUGAAAUGCGUAGAGAUCGGGAGGAAUACCAGUGGCGAAGGCGGCCUUCUGGACUGACACUGACGCUGAGGUGCGAAAGCGUGGGUAGCAAACAGGAUUAGAUACCCGGGUAGUC
RNAcentral lists this ribosomal RNA (465 nucleotides) under Vreelandella stevensii. RNAcentral's name for it is "partial 16S ribosomal RNA". It matches the Rfam family "Bacterial small subunit ribosomal RNA", at positions 338 to 795 of the family's 1533-position model. The record is from RNAcentral. Lineage: Bacteria; Pseudomonadati; Pseudomonadota; Gammaproteobacteria; Oceanospirillales; Halomonadaceae.